Molecule: ribosomal RNA, 1415 nt
Filed under: Lactiplantibacillus plantarum
Lineage: Bacteria; Bacillati; Bacillota; Bacilli; Lactobacillales; Lactobacillaceae
Description: bacterial SSU rRNA
Rfam family: Bacterial small subunit ribosomal RNA
Source: RNAcentral
GCAAGUCGAACGAACUCUGGUAUUGAUUGGUGCUUGCAUCAUGAUUUACAUUUGAGUGAGUGGCGAACUGGUGAGUAACACGUGGGAAACCUGCCCAGAAGCGGGGGAUAACACCUGGAAACAGAUGCUAAUACCGCAUAACAACUUGGACCGCAUGGUCCGAGUUUGAAAGAUGGCUUCGGCUAUCACUUUUGGAUGGUCCCGCGGCGUAUUAGCUAGAUGGUGGGGUAACGGCUCACCAUGGCAAUGAUACGUAGCCGACCUGAGAGGGUAAUCGGCCACAUUGGGACUGAGACACGGCCCAAACUCCUACGGGAGGCAGCAGUAGGGAAUCUUCCACAAUGGACGAAAGUCUGAUGGAGCAACGCCGCGUGAGUGAAGAAGGGUUUCGGCUCGUAAAACUCUGUUGUUAAAGAAGAACAUAUCUGAGAGUAACUGUUCAGGUAUUGACGGUAUUUAACCAGAAAGCCACGGCUAACUACGUGCCAGCAGCCGCGGUAAUACGUAGGUGGCAAGCGUUGUCCGGAUUUAUUGGGCGUAAAGCGAGCGCAGGCGGUUUUUUAAGUCUGAUGUGAAAGCCUUCGGCUCAACCGAAGAAGUGCAUCGGAAACUGGGAAACUUGAGUGCAGAAGAGGACAGUGGAACUCCAUGUGUAGCGGUGAAAUGCGUAGAUAUAUGGAAGAACACCAGUGGCGAAGGCGGCUGUCUGGUCUGUAACUGACGCUGAGGCUCGAAAGUAUGGGUAGCAAACAGGAUUAGAUACCCUGGUAGUCCAUACCGUAAACGAUGAAUGCUAAGUGUUGGAGGGUUUCCGCCCUUCAGUGCUGCAGCUAACGCAUUAAGCAUUCCGCCUGGGGAGUACGGCCGCAAGGCUGAAACUCAAAGGAAUUGACGGGGGCCCGCACAAGCGGUGGAGCAUGUGGUUUAAUUCGAAGCUACGCGAAGAACCUUACCAGGUCUUGACAUACUAUGCAAAUCUAAGAGAUUAGACGUUCCCUUCGGGGACAUGGAUACAGGUGGUGCAUGGUUGUCGUCAGCUCGUGUCGUGAGAUGUUGGGUUAAGUCCCGCAACGAGCGCAACCCUUAUUAUCAGUUGCCAGCAUUAAGUUGGGCACUCUGGUGAGACUGCCGGUGACAAACCGGAGGAAGGUGGGGAUGACGUCAAAUCAUCAUGCCCCUUAUGACCUGGGCUACACACGUGCUACAAUGGAUGGUACAACGAGUUGCGAACUCGCGAGAGUAAGCUAAUCUCUUAAAGCCAUUCUCAGUUCGGAUUGUAGGCUGCAACUCGCCUACAUGAAGUCGGAAUCGCUAGUAAUCGCGGAUCAGCAUGCCGCGGUGAAUACGUUCCCGGGCCUUGUACACACCGCCCGUCACACCAUGAGAGUUUGUAACACCCAAAGUCGGUGGGGUAA